AAGGAUAACAGCAAUGAGGCUAGGAACCACAGAUUGUAGUUUCAUGUAAGAUAAAGUCGGUUAUUAGGGUAAUCGAACAAGUGCAACCCAGAUUCUCCAGAAAUAAAUCUUGUCAGAGCAAUCUGAUUUUUUGGAUGGAAUACCAAAGUUAAUAGAUGAAGGUGCUGGCCACUCAUCAAAGACAGUUCCUGCCCUGAACAGCUUAUGAUCUGAGAACACAAGGAAGAAAUGAAGGAUUAGAGAGGACCAAAACCUACACUUCUGGAUCCACCCCCUUUCCAAUAAAAGAUAUCUAGGUCAGAUUCUCAGCUGGUCAUCCAAUCUGGGAAACCAACCAACACCUGAGGAGGUCUGCAAAGCAAUUAAAGAAAUGAAGAACAAUAAAGCACCAGGUCCAGAUGGCAUACCAGCUGAAGUACUGAAAGAGUGGGGAGAAACAUUGACCAACAAGCUUCAUUUGCUGCUCCUCAAAUUCUGGCACACCAAAGAAAUCCCUGCUGACUUGCAUAAUGCUAACAUCACCAUUUUGAAAAAGGGAGACAGGCUGACUGUGGCAACUAUUGAGGCAUUGCCCUCCUCUCCAUCGCUGGGAAUAUUCUUGGUAGAAUCUUACUGAAUUGCCUGUUCCCUCUUGCAGAGGAAGUACUUCCAGGGCCAAUUCAAUCAAGGUGGAUGUAGUCCACUCCCAAUAACACCAUUAAUCUGGGCUUGAAUAGGGACUG
Trachemys scripta elegans is the source of this 722-nucleotide long non-coding RNA. RefSeq lists it as uncharacterized. Lineage: Eukaryota; Metazoa; Chordata; Testudines; Emydidae. The transcript has 3 exons. The record is from RefSeq and is a predicted model, not a curated record.